Non-coding RNA from Salvelinus sp. IW2-2015, 983 nucleotides. NCBI's taxonomy places the organism in Eukaryota, Metazoa, Chordata, Actinopteri, Salmoniformes, Salmonidae. The record is from RefSeq and is a predicted model, not a curated record.
GGGGGGGGGGUGAUGACAUAAUACACGUCACUGACACCCGUUACAAUGGGAAGUACCAGUGGCGCUGCACCCUGGUGAACCCCCGCACAGCCAAGCCCUUGCAGGCGGGGGUCAUGCCCAAUUACAACAGGUAUCCAAGAAGGGCUCUGAGCGUGUGCGAUUGGUCAAGGCUGUGUCCCCCAGCUGUCGUGGGARUGGUUCCACCCCACAGGUCCUUUACACACUCAGCAACCGUCAUGAGGAGCACCUGAUUCCUUACAGUAUGGUCCAGCCAAUACAGGUCAAGACCAAACGGCCUGUCAUCUUCUCCCCCUCCUUGCUCUCUCGCGGCCUCAGAGAGACUGCUUCAGCCAGCAGAGUCUGGACUGGACUUCAACACCUGCCAACCAGAGCCAAUCCAGGCCACAGAGAYAAAUAUUAAGAGUGUUUUCCUGCUAGAUGCUUCCACCCCAGAGCAGGCUCUUGGAAUCAGUCUGCAGUCUAUUCAGGAUGUAAUAAGCCAGGACAAGCACUGUCUGUUGGAGCUGGGCCUGAGUAGUGUGGAGGGCCUUCUAAGGCAGGGGGUGUACCCUAUCGUCAUUAAUAUCCGACCCAAGAACAAAAAACACAAGAAGCUAAAGAAGUUGCUGACCGGGCGAGGGGAGGAUGGCGUGAUGGAGGAGGUGUGUCAGGCGGACYAGCAGCAGCUGGAGACCCUYCCCCUGCUCUACSACACURUGGAACCUAGCACCUGGAGCUGCACCGAGGAUCUGCUUCUAGCCAUACGCAAUGUCAUCCACAGCCAGCAGAAAGCACUGCUGUGGGUUGAGUUGGAAAGGCUCCAAUAGAUCCCAAUGUUAUCGCCCAGUUUUAUUGUUUUACUAAGCUAAAUUUGAUACAAUUAUCAUAUACAUUUCACACACACCCAUUUAGAUACCUAGUUCUACCACAGUAAAUAUGAAGUUUCAUGUUCAUAUGAUGAAUUAAACCUUACAAGCUCAGUA